RNAcentral lists this ribosomal RNA (1531 nucleotides) under Escherichia coli DEC1C. RNAcentral's name for it is "bacterial SSU rRNA". It matches the Rfam family "Bacterial small subunit ribosomal RNA". Lineage: Bacteria; Pseudomonadati; Pseudomonadota; Gammaproteobacteria; Enterobacterales; Enterobacteriaceae. The record is from RNAcentral.
AGAGUUUGAUCAUGGCUCAGAUUGAACGCUGGCGGCAGGCCUAACACAUGCAAGUCGAACGGUAACAGAAAGCAGCUUGCUGCUUUGCUGACGAGUGGCGGACGGGUGAGUAAUGUCUGGGAAACUGCCCGAUGGAGGGGGAUAACUACUGGAAACGGUAGCUAAUACCGCAUAACGUCGCAAGACCAAAGAGGGGGACCUUAGGGCCUCUUGCCAUCGGAUGUGCCCAGAUGGGAUUAGCUAGUAGGUGGGGUAACGGCUCACCUAGGCGACGAUCCCUAGCUGGUCUGAGAGGAUGACCAGCCACACUGGAACUGAGACACGGUCCAGACUCCUACGGGAGGCAGCAGUGGGGAAUAUUGCACAAUGGGCGCAAGCCUGAUGCAGCCAUGCCGCGUGUAUGAAGAAGGCCUUCGGGUUGUAAAGUACUUUCAGCGGGGAGGAAGGGAGUAAAGUUAAUACCUUUGCUCAUUGACGUUACCCGCAGAAGAAGCACCGGCUAACUCCGUGCCAGCAGCCGCGGUAAUACGGAGGGUGCAAGCGUUAAUCGGAAUUACUGGGCGUAAAGCGCACGCAGGCGGUUUGUUAAGUCAGAUGUGAAAUCCCCGGGCUCAACCUGGGAACUGCAUCUGAUACUGGCAAGCUUGAGUCUCGUAGAGGGGGGUAGAAUUCCAGGUGUAGCGGUGAAAUGCGUAGAGAUCUGGAGGAAUACCGGUGGCGAAGGCGGCCCCCUGGACGAAGACUGACGCUCAGGUGCGAAAGCGUGGGGAGCAAACAGGAUUAGAUACCCUGGUAGUCCACGCCGUAAACGAUGUCGACUUGGAGGUUGUGCCCUUGAGGCGUGGCUUCCGGAGCUAACGCGUUAAGUCGACCGCCUGGGGAGUACGGCCGCAAGGUUAAAACUCAAAUGAAUUGACGGGGGCCCGCACAAGCGGUGGAGCAUGUGGUUUAAUUCGAUGCAACGCGAAGAACCUUACCUGGUCUUGACAUCCACGGAAGUUUUCAGAGAUGAGAAUGUGCCUUCGGGAACCGUGAGACAGGUGCUGCAUGGCUGUCGUCAGCUCGUGUUGUGAAAUGUUGGGUUAAGUCCCGCAACGAGCGCAACCCUUAUCCUUUGUUGCCAGCGGUCCGGCCGGGAACUCAAAGGAGACUGCCAGUGAUAAACUGGAGGAAGGUGGGGAUGACGUCAAGUCAUCAUGGCCCUUACGACCAGGGCUACACACGUGCUACAAUGGCGCAUACAAAGAGAAGCGACCUCGCGAGAGCAAGCGGACCUCAUAAAGUGCGUCGUAGUCCGGAUUGGAGUCUGCAACUCGACUCCAUGAAGUCGGAAUCGCUAGUAAUCGUGGAUCAGAAUGCCACGGUGAAUACGUUCCCGGGCCUUGUACACACCGCCCGUCACACCAUGGGAGUGGGUUGCAAAAAGAAGUAGGUAGCUUAACCUUCGGGAGGGCGCUUACCACUUUGUGAUUCAUGACUGGGGUGAAGUCGUAACAAGGUAACCGUAGGGGAACCUGCGGUUGGAUCACCU